Molecule: ribosomal RNA, 464 nt
Filed under: uncultured bacterium
Lineage: Bacteria
Description: partial 16S ribosomal RNA
Rfam family: Bacterial small subunit ribosomal RNA
Source: RNAcentral
CUACGGGUGGCUGCAGUGAGGAAUUUUGCGCAAUGGGGGAAACCCUGACGCAGCAACGCCGCGUGAGCGAAGAAGGCCUUCGGGUCGUAAAGCUCUGUCAAGUGGGAAAAAGGUCUAUGGAUUAACAGUCGAUAGGUUUGAUGGUACCACUGGAGGAAGCACCGGCUAACUCCGUGCCAGCAGCCGCGGUAAUACGGAGGGUGCAAGCGUUGUUCGGAAUUACUGGGCGUAAAGGGCGUGCAGGCGGUUUGGCAAGUCAGAUGUGAAAGCCCUGGGCUUAACCCAGGAAGUGCAUUUGAAACUGCCAUUCUUGAGUAUGGGAGAGGAGAGUGGAAUUCCUGGUGUAGAGGUGAAAUUCGUAGAUAUCAGGAGGAACACCCGUGGCGAAGGCGACUCUCUGGACCAAUACUGACGCUGAGACGCGAAAGCGUGGGGAGCAAACAGGAUUAGAUACCCCCGUAGUC